Ataeniobius toweri is the source of this 83-nucleotide non-coding RNA. NCBI's taxonomy places the organism in Eukaryota, Metazoa, Chordata, Actinopteri, Cyprinodontiformes, Goodeidae. The record is from the annotation of a GenBank genome assembly.
ACCAGGAUGGCUGAGGGGUGAAGGUGUUGGGGUUGAGACCCAAUGAGCAUCUGCUGAAGUGGCUUUGAACUCCACUCCUGGUA